RNAcentral lists this ribosomal RNA (175 nucleotides) under uncultured bacterium. RNAcentral describes it as "partial 16S ribosomal RNA". It matches the Rfam family "Bacterial small subunit ribosomal RNA", at positions 335 to 524 of the family's 1533-position model. The record is from RNAcentral.
ACUCCUACGGGAGGCAGCAGUUUGGAAUUUUGGACAAUGGGCGAAAGCCUGAUCCAGCGACGCCGCGUGGACGAUGAAGGUCUUCGGAUUGUAAAGUCCUUUUGUUAGGGAAGAAUAUUUUGACGGUACCUAACGAAUAAGAGGUUGCUAACUCUGUGCCAGCAGCCGCGGUAAU